Long non-coding RNA from Apis mellifera (honey bee), 1060 nucleotides. RefSeq lists it as uncharacterized. NCBI's taxonomy places the organism in Eukaryota, Metazoa, Arthropoda, Insecta, Hymenoptera, Apidae. The transcript is spliced from 2 exons. The record is from RefSeq and is a predicted model, not a curated record.
AUUUAUUAAUAAUAUUUUAAAAUUAAUUGAUUAAAUAAUAUAAUUAAUUAAAAUAUGUUUUAAUACAUUCGUUUUAUUUUUGACAAAAUUGAAUGUACCUGUGGUUUGUGAGCUUGAUUUAUCCAACUUUAUGUAAUUUGUGAACACAAAAAAAAAAAAUACGAGAAGUCUGUGUAUUAUUACGUGCAUCUUCUUGUUCUUAUGAAGAUUCGUACAUAAAGUGUCAUAGAAAGUUCUUAUAUAUUUUGUGAAGAUUAUUAUUGGUGAGUAUUUAUUAAAUCAUUAUUAAAACUAAUUAAAUGUGAUGAUAAUCAAUCAUGCAUGUCGGACCAACCACGCGCGUGCAUUUGUGUACACUUCAUUAUUGUAUCUCUGCGAAAAUUACAAUAUCUAUAGUUAUUUUAUAGCCUUUUCAAAGAUGUUGUUAUUAAAAACGAAUAUUAACUAUACGGUAAUGUACACAUACGUAUAAAAAUAAUUAUUGUCUGUCAAAAAAAUAUUAGAUUCGCGGAAAGUUAACGUUUCUUUUAAUUUUAAAAGGCGCAGAAAUAUUCUAUAUACUAACCCUGAAGCCUGCAUGUGAAAAUGGCACUUAACUCAUCUGAUAUGGUUUAGAAAAAUGUUUUCCAUGGAAGAAGAAAAGGACAAUUCGAAGAAGAUGAAUUUCUUUCGUACCGCAGAAUACUGUAUACGCAAUCUGAAACACAGAUUAUUUUCAAUAUAAUUUUCAUUCUGAUUUAUUCUAUAAAUGAGAAAAGAAUAUUAAAUAUUUUGCUUUUUCAUAAUCUUUUUUUUUUGUUUUGAAAAGAUUGAUGAUUUAUUGAAAAUAUAUCUUUUAAUGAAAGAUAUUUGCAAUGAUAUGUUUGCCUAAAUUAUAUUUUUAUUUUUUUAUUACGUGUUAAUUUAAUUAAUUUUAUCUAUGUUAUUAAUUUAAUUUUCAAUAGAUAUAAAAAAUUGUUUCAGAUUGACGCACGAAUUGUACAUAUUAUAGUCGGUUCUAACUAAAAAAGAAGCACAAAUUAUAAAACAUAUAUUAUAAUAUAUGAAUUUUUAAUUAUUA